Molecule: ribosomal RNA, 468 nt
Filed under: uncultured bacterium
Lineage: Bacteria
Description: partial 16S ribosomal RNA
Rfam family: Bacterial small subunit ribosomal RNA
Source: RNAcentral
GACGAACGCUGGCGGCGUGCUUAACACAUGCAAGUCGAACGGAAAGGCCCUGCUUUUGUGGGGUGCUCGAGUGGCGAACGGGUGAGUAACACGUGAGUAACCUGCCCUUGACUUUGGGAUAACUUCAGGAAACUGGGGCUAAUACCGGAUAGGAGCUCCUGCUGCAUGGUGGGGGUUGGAAAGUUUCGGCGGUUGGGGAUGGACUCGCGGCUUAUCAGCUUGUUGGUGGGGUAGUGGCUUACCAAGGCUUUGACGGGUAGCCGGCCUGAGAGGGUGACCGGCCACAUUGGGACUGAGAUACGGCCCAGACUCCUACGGGAGGCAGCGGUGGGGAAUAUUGCACAAUGGGCGGAAGCCUGAUGCAGCAACGCCGCGUGUGGGAUGACGGCCUUCGGGUUGUAAACCGCUUUCGCCUGUGACGAAGCGUGAGUGACGGUAAUGGGUAAAGAAGCACCGGCUAACUACGUG